AAAACUGAAUGACUAGAUUCCAUUUUUCAAUUUCAGCAUUUCUGAGAAAUAAAACUAAAAACCAGGGUAAACUGUGAAAAGCAUAUCUCAAAUUGCUUCACAUUGUCUUCUCUCUCUAACAAAUUCUGUUUCUGAAAUAGUGACUGCAACUGAUUUUAGAUACUUUGAGGUGAACCCUAACAGCAUGCAAGUCCCAUUAACAUGAAUAUGACAACAAAGCACUCAUUUAAACAUCCAAACACACUAACAAGACUCAUAGUCUCCCAGACAUU
This 272-nucleotide unclassified non-coding RNA is filed under the name Hevea brasiliensis (rubber tree). Lineage: Eukaryota; Viridiplantae; Streptophyta; Magnoliopsida; Malpighiales; Euphorbiaceae. The record is from RNAcentral.